AGUACGGCGAGUGAACCGGGAAAAGCUCAAAUUUGUAAUCUGGCUGUCUUCGAUAGUCCGAGUUGUAAUCUAUAGACGUGUUUUCCGUGCUGGACCGUAUCUAAGUCCCUUGGAACAGGGUAUCAAAGAGGGUGACAAUCCCGUGCUUGAUACGACCACCAGUGCUCUGUGAUACACGCUCUACGAGUCGAGUUGU
Molecule: ribosomal RNA, 196 nt
Filed under: uncultured yeast
Lineage: Eukaryota; Fungi
Description: partial 26S rRNA
Rfam family: Eukaryotic large subunit ribosomal RNA
Source: RNAcentral